This 73-nucleotide transfer RNA is filed under the name Acidobacteriota bacterium. RNAcentral describes it as "tRNA-Thr". It matches the Rfam family "tRNA". Rfam says of the family: Transfer RNA (tRNA) molecules are approximately 80 nucleotides in length. Their secondary structure includes four short double-helical elements and three loops (D, anti-codon, and T loops). The record is from RNAcentral. RNAcentral also lists the same sequence under 1 other name. Lineage: Bacteria; Pseudomonadati; Acidobacteriota.
GCCGGUGUAGCUCAGCUGGUAGAGCAUUUGAUUCGUAAUCAAAAGGUCGACGGUUCGAGUCCGUCCACCGGCU